GUUGUGACCGCUAAUGAGACCUCUCCUUUAUGCUAUCAUCGAGCACUGCCAUUGGCUGCGAGCGAGGACCCUGCCAUUGGUUGCAAGAAGAAUGAAGGGGUGGGCAUCCCCUAUUUUGAAAGAAGAGAUGAGAAGAAGAGAGGGUUUUCUUUCUCUCUCUUUCCUCCUUUUUUUCUUUCUUCAUUAGCUUAAUUAAUUAUUUAUUUAGUUCCCUCUCUCCCUCUCUCAUCUCUCAAU
This 237-nucleotide long non-coding RNA is filed under the name Elaeis guineensis (African oil palm). RNAcentral's name for it is "long non-coding RNA (EGUI_LNC033291)". The record is from RNAcentral. Lineage: Eukaryota; Viridiplantae; Streptophyta; Magnoliopsida; Arecales; Arecaceae.